This is a small nuclear RNA of Myotis lucifugus (little brown bat), 144 nucleotides long. It matches the Rfam family "U4 spliceosomal RNA". Rfam says of the family: U4 small nuclear RNA (U4 snRNA) is a component of the major U2-dependent spliceosome. The structure of U4 snRNA from yeast and human has been reported. U4 snRNA presents a k-turn RNA motif in the 5p-SL related to recognition of Snu13 protein. The record is from Rfam. Lineage: Eukaryota; Metazoa; Chordata; Mammalia; Chiroptera; Vespertilionidae.
AGCUUUGCGCAGUGGCAGUAUUGUAACCAAUGAGUUUUAUCCGAGGCACGAUUAUUGCUAAUUGAAAGAAAAAAUAAUGGCCCCAAAGUGCAAGAGUAGUCAUGCUAGCAAUUCAGAUAUGACAACAAGAAGCCAGAAAGUGUU